AGCUCACCUUAGUCUCUUUAUUAAACUAAACAAACUUUUAGACUUAAGAGCUAUUCAAAUAAGGCACAGCUUAUUUGAAAUAGGACACAACCUACAACAUAGGGUAAAUGAGAGUGACAUAAAUAAAGUGGGCCUAAAAGCAGCCACCUUCAGAAAAGCGUUAAAGCUUAACUACCUUCACUCAUAAUGCCUAAAAUCUCCACUAACCCUUCAUUACUACUGAACAAUUUUAUACUCAUAUAAAAGCUAUCAUGCUAGAACUAGUAACAAGAAACUGCUUUUCUCCUAAAUGUAAACAUAAACCAAAAUAGACCAUCUAUUGGUUAUUAACGUAAAUGCUAAACUGUAGCAACACUCACUAGAAAAUCCUAUAAACCCCAACGUUAACCUUACACCAGAACAUUACAGGAAAGAUUAAAAGAAAAAGAAGGAACUCGGCAAAUUUUAGCCUCGCCUGUUUACCAAAAACAUCGCCUCUUGACAAACAUAAGAGGUCCAGCCUGCCCAGUGACAAAGUUCAACGGCCGCGGUACCCUAACCGUGCAAAGGUAGCACAAUCACUUGUUCUUUAAAUGAGGACUCGUAUCAACGGCACUACGAGGGCUAUACUGUCUCCUUUUUCUAAUCAGUGAAACUGAUCUCCCCGUGAAGAAGCGGGGAUUGUAAUAUAAGACGAGAAGACCCCAUGGAGCUUUAAACUCACCAUGUACCCCUGUGCUCCCAUACCCCCAGACACAACAGACCUACAUGUUAGUUUUAGGUUGGGGUGACCACGGAGUAUAACUUAACCUCCACAGCAAAUGGGCUAAUACCCUUAUCCACGAGACACAACUCUAAGAAUUACUAAACUAAUGCUUACGACCCGAUAUUCGAUCCAUGAACCAAGUUACCCUGGGGAUAACAGCGCAAUCUACUUCAAGAGCCCAUAUCGACAAGUAGGUUUACGACCUCGAUGUUGGAUCAGGGUAUCCCGGUGGUGCAGCCGCUACCAAUGGUUCGUUUGUUCAACGAUUAAAACCCUACGUGAUCUG
RNAcentral lists this ribosomal RNA (1031 nucleotides) under Rana chensinensis (Chinese brown frog). RNAcentral's name for it is "partial large subunit ribosomal RNA". It matches the Rfam family "Bacterial large subunit ribosomal RNA", at positions 929 to 2607 of the family's 2925-position model. Lineage: Eukaryota; Metazoa; Chordata; Amphibia; Anura; Ranidae. The record is from RNAcentral.